Molecule: transfer RNA, 85 nt
Filed under: Felis catus (domestic cat)
Lineage: Eukaryota; Metazoa; Chordata; Mammalia; Carnivora; Felidae
Rfam family: tRNA
About the family: Transfer RNA (tRNA) molecules are approximately 80 nucleotides in length. Their secondary structure includes four short double-helical elements and three loops (D, anti-codon, and T loops).
Source: Rfam by way of RNAcentral
GCCUGGGUGGCUCAGUUGGUUGAGCGUCUGACUUCAGCUCAGGUCACGAUCUCACAGUCGGUGGGUUUGAGCCCCGUAUCAGGCU